AUGCUUCCUCUGCUCAUGACCCAAGGGAAAACGAAAGGAGAGAUGCAGGGGGUGGAAGAGAGGAAGAAGGAGAAAGGAGGGAGAAGGAGGUGCUGCGGGGAGGCACUGGAGGGUGGGGGCGGAGUGAGCGAGGGCGAAGAGGAAGGAGGAGGCGGUCGAGGGGCUCGGUGGUGGCCUCGAUCUGAUCUGGAUCGAGACCUCUGCGGGGAGGCCUUGAAGCAGCGGCGGCCAUUGAGAGGGAUUGGAGUGUCGUUCCUCGCUGGACAGAGAGUAGGAGAGAGAAGAGAGGAAGGAAAUCGGGAGCGUGGGGAGAUAUGGGGAUGA
This 324-nucleotide ribosomal RNA is filed under the name Triticum aestivum (bread wheat). RNAcentral's name for it is "partial small subunit ribosomal RNA". The record is from RNAcentral. Lineage: Eukaryota; Viridiplantae; Streptophyta; Magnoliopsida; Poales; Poaceae.